GAUCAAACCCCACUCUGCAUUUCCACUACUAUUUCUUCUUCCUUUCAUGUCCACAUAAAUCUCCCUCUCUCUCUCUCUAGAUUUCACUUCUGUAAUUUGAGGGCCAUUUUUCUAGGCAACUCUCCAGUCUCUGUCUCUGUCUCUAAGAAGAUGGCUGACGAGAGAGCUGAAGAUAAUGCCGUUGUCUCCGGCCAACCCCAGAAAACCAUAGCAGACUUUGAUCCCCCCGGGAAGCCAAAGAGAAACAAGUACGCCUUUGCUUGUGCCAUCUUGGCUUCCAUGACUUCCAUCUUGCUUGGUUAUGAUAUUGGUGUGAUGAGUGGAGCUGCAAUCUACAUAAAAAAGGACCUCAAAGUGAGCGACGUAGAAAUUGAGGUUCUUAUCGGUAUUCUGAACCUUUACUCCCUCAUCGGCUCGGCCGCAGCCGGCAGAACUUCCGACUGGAUCGGCCGUCGGUACACCAUAGUCCUCGCUGGAGCCAUCUUCUUCGCCGGAGCUCUCCUCAUGGGAUUUGCCCCCAACUAUGCCUUCCUCAUGUUCGGCCGGUUUAUCGCCGGAAUUGGCGUCGGCUACGCCCUUAUGAUCGCUCCGGUCUACACCGCCGAGGUCUCUCCGGCGUCGUCUCGUGGGUUCCUCACAUCUUUCCCAGAGGUGUUUAUCAAUGCCGGGAUAUUGUUCGGCUACGUGUCCAAUUAUGGCUUCUCAAAGCUCCCAACUCACUUGGGAUGGCGGCUCAUGCUCGGUGUGGGAGCCAUCCCCGCUAUUUUCCUAGCCAUCGGCGUCUUAGCCAUGCCGGAGUCGCCUCGUUGGCUCGUCAUGCAGGGUCGGCUCGGGGACGCCAGGAAAGUCCUCGACAAAACCUCAGACUCCCUUGAAGAGUCCAAGCUUCGGCUAGGCGACAUCAAGGAAGCCGCCGGCAUCCCCGAACACUGCAACGACGACAUCGUUGAGGUGAAGAAGCGCAGCCAAGGCCAAGACGUGUGGAAAGAGUUGCUCCUUCAUCCAACACCAGCCGUCCGUCAUAUUUUAAUGUGUGCCGUUGGUUUACACUUCUUUCAGCAAGCGUCGGGUAUAGACGCCGUCGUUUUGUACAGCCCAAGGAUCUUCGAGAAGGCUGGGAUCACCAACUCCGACAAAAUUUUACUCUGCACUGUGGCCGUUGGAUUCGUCAAGACCGUUUUCAUCUUGGUCGCCACGUUUAUGCUCGAUCGGAUCGGACGACGUCCGUUGCUUUAACUAGUGUGGCCGCAUGUAGUCACGCUUGCAUUACUCGGCUUGGGCCUUACGAUUAUCGAUCACCACCACGAGAGGAUCAUGUGGGCUAUUGUUUUGUGCUUGACCAUGGUAUUAGCGUACGUCGCGUUCUUCUCGAUCGGGAUGGGCCCCAUCACAUGGGUCUACAGCUCUGAGAUCUUCCCGUUGCAGCUACGUGCUCAAGGUUGCAGUAUAGGAGUGGCCGUGAACAGGGUGGUGAGUGGGGUCCUCUCGAUGACUUUUAUUUCGCUGUACAAGGCCAUCACAAUUGGCGGGGCCUUCUUUCUUUUUGCGGCAAUUGCAGCGGUUGGCUGGACGUUCUUUUUCACAAUGCUCCCAGAAACACAGGGUAGAACCCUUGAGGAUAUGGAGGUCUUGUUUGGAAAAUUCUACAGGUGGAGAAAAGCCAAUGCACUCCUCAAACAGAAGCAAGGUGAACACGGUGAUGGCAACAAUAAUCCAAACAACCCUCAAAUCCAAUUAGGAACAAAAGGGGUAGCUAAUUAGAUUAGUCAAUCCACUCGAUGGUAGUAUAUUGUAGUAGAUAUAGACUCUUUUGUAUGCUUCUCAGUUAUAUGUAAUUCACAAGUACAAGUAUUUCUUCUCUAAAUCAGCUAUGAAAGAUGAAAGGGUUGUCCAAAGCAAUGAGAUAGACUUGUGAUUUCGACACCCAAACCACCAAAAACAUGUUGGUUGAGACUAAUAACAUUUCCUAUUAACAACUGUUA
RNA transcript from Prunus persica (peach), 1982 nucleotides. It is a transcript of the gene named polyol transporter 5, with no coding region annotated. NCBI's taxonomy places the organism in Eukaryota, Viridiplantae, Streptophyta, Magnoliopsida, Rosales, Rosaceae. The transcript has 3 exons. The record is from RefSeq and is a predicted model, not a curated record.